This 200-nucleotide unclassified non-coding RNA is filed under the name Hevea brasiliensis (rubber tree). Lineage: Eukaryota; Viridiplantae; Streptophyta; Magnoliopsida; Malpighiales; Euphorbiaceae. The record is from RNAcentral.
CCCCAUCACGAAAUGUUUCGAGGUCGGAUUUCCCCACUUGUCAUUCCGGGGCGCGCGGCUUCGCGCGAACCCGGAAUCCAUGGCCACUCACCGGAUUCCCGCAUCAUCAUGGAUUCCGGGCCUGCGCCAACCGGCGCAUCCCGGAAUGACGGGGAGGAUUCUCGCACGAAGACGCGCAUCCAGGCAUGACGGCGGAGAAA